Molecule: ribosomal RNA, 253 nt
Filed under: uncultured bacterium
Lineage: Bacteria
Description: partial 16S ribosomal RNA
Rfam family: Bacterial small subunit ribosomal RNA
Source: RNAcentral
UACAGAGGUCUCAAGCGUUGUUCGGAAUCAUUGGGCGUAAAGGGCGCGUAGGUGGUUCUGUAUGUCUACCGUGAAAGCAUACAGCUCAACUGUAUUUUGUCGGUAGAAACUGCAGGACUUGAGGCUGGGAGGGGCUGGUGGAAUUCCCUGUGUAGCGGUGAAAUGCGUAGAGAUGGGGGAGAACACUCGUGGCGAAGGCGGCCAGCUAGACCAGUUCUGACACUGAGGCGCGACAGCGUGGGGAGCAAACAGG